GGGUCUUAGGGGGUGUCCCCCUAAUCAGGCCUUUCGAGCUUGUGACCCGGGUUCAAAUCCCGGCCGCGGCA
RNAcentral lists this transfer RNA (71 nucleotides) under Saccharolobus islandicus REY15A. Its description in RNAcentral is "tRNA-Leu (CAA) (tRNA-Leu-CAA-2-1)". Lineage: Archaea; Thermoproteati; Thermoproteota; Thermoprotei; Sulfolobales; Sulfolobaceae. The record is from RNAcentral.